Molecule: ribosomal RNA, 229 nt
Filed under: uncultured bacterium
Lineage: Bacteria
Description: partial 16S ribosomal RNA
Rfam family: Bacterial small subunit ribosomal RNA
Source: RNAcentral
UGCGUAGGCGGGGCAAUUAGUCAGUGGUGAAAUCCUGCGGCUUAACCGUAGAACUGCCAUCGAUACUGUUGCCCUUGAGUAUAGUUGAGGUGGGCGGAAUGUGUAAUGUAGCGGUGAAAUGCAUAGAGAUUACACAGAACACCAAUUGCGAAGGCAGCUCACUAAGCUAUAACUGACGCUGAGGCACGAAAGCGUGGGGAGCGAACAGGAUUAGAUACCCUGGUAGUCC